UACGUAGGGUGCGAGCGUUAAUCGGAAUUACUGGGCGUAAAGCGUGCGCAGGCGGUUUUGUAAGCCAGAUGUGAAAUCCCCGGGCUUAACCUGGGAAUGGCAUUUGGGACUGCAAGGCUUGAGUUUGGCAGAGGAGACUGGAAUUCCUGGUGUAGCAGUGGAAAUGCGUAGAUAUCAGGAGGAACACCGGUGGCGAAGGCGGGUCUCUGGGCCGAUGACUGACGCUGGAGGAGCGAAAGCGUGGGGAGCGAACAGG
This 256-nucleotide ribosomal RNA is filed under the name uncultured bacterium. RNAcentral describes it as "partial 16S ribosomal RNA". It matches the Rfam family "Bacterial small subunit ribosomal RNA", at positions 524 to 776 of the family's 1533-position model. The record is from RNAcentral.